Siniperca chuatsi (mandarin fish) is the source of this 11753-nucleotide RNA transcript. It is a transcript of the gene named zonadhesin-like, with no coding region annotated. NCBI's taxonomy places the organism in Eukaryota, Metazoa, Chordata, Actinopteri, Centrarchiformes, Sinipercidae. The transcript is spliced from 41 exons. The record is from RefSeq and is a predicted model, not a curated record.
GUUCUGAUAACUACACAUGAGGGCCCACACCUCUGUGCUGGCAGUUAAAGCGUGACAUAAGCACUAGUUCCACAGAGUGGCUCCACAACAGUUACUGCCCAUCAGUCAUUCUUCAACUCAUCAAAGAGAGAGAGUAUUAGCAACGGGAGAGUUGCUGAGAGGCUGCCAUUAAGGGAUCAGCCAUGCUUGGAGGCAUCCACACAGAUUUGUUGGUCACAGUGACUCUACUCUUUCUAACUCAGACAGGGACUGAGUGCAGGGCUGAAAAUGACUUUUCAUUGGUUACAUUACCAGAGUGGAGGACAAAUUCAGAAUAUGUUACACAGUGUUUCUACAACAGACACAACAAUCUGACUUGUGAUUGGACAAGGAACCAACUAAGAAUAGAGGAUGUUGCAGUGAACAUCUUAGAGAGUGGUCCACUGGGGCUGGAGGGCGAGGCCUGUCUAGAGUUUUGGUAUCAAACCCCGGUUGCAGCUAAUGGGUCAGAACUUCGCGCUCUGCUAAAAAGCAGCGUUGGUCUGGUAGAAAUCUGGACCUCACCUGCCCUUCCCAGGGAUUCUUGGAGACAAGUGUUUGUCCCUUUGCACAUCAUCGAACCAGGGACUCAGGUUGUAUUUGAAGCAGUUCAAGCAGUGUCCAUGGAAGAACAGGUCACAUUUAAACGGAUAGGUGUAAGGAGAGGCUCAUGUGGACAACAGUGUGAAUCUAACACAGAGUUCUGGACAGAUGAGUCCACCCACUGCCUCUGCUCUGUUGGCCAGCUCUCCUGCUCUCCCUCUCAGUGCCCUGAGGGCCAAACCUGUGGUCCCCAAAGAGGAAGCUCCAGAGGGAUUUCUGUCUCUGGGACGUGCACUAUACACAGUCACACAGACUGCAGCACUUUUGAUAGAGUGCUGUUCCGCUUCAUGGCCCCCUGCACCUACAUACUGGCUAAGACCUGCUCACCCUCUGAGGCUCUGCCCAUGUUCAGUGUGGAAGUGGUCAAUGAGCAGAAUGGGAACUCAUCUGUGCCAACCGUUCAACAGGUCAUUGUGAACAUGGGGAACUCUAGAGUGUCCCUGCUGAAAAGGCAGACACACAGGGUUGUGGUUAAUGGUGUCUGGAGGAAGCUUCCACUGAGCCUCAGCAAUGGCACUGUGUACAUCAUAAGCAACCCUGCUGCUGUUAAAUUGGGUACCAGCUUCGGUCUUUCUGUCUCAUAUGACAACGCUGGUGAUGUCCAUGUCAACUUGCCAUCCACUUACUCUGAUAAUGUCUGUGGCUUGUGUGGAAACUUCAACCAGCUCAGAGAAGAUGACUUCAGAAAGCCAGAUGGUACAAAUGCCCAAGAUGCUACAGCUUUGGCUGAGAGUUGGCAGACCAGGCAAACCACCUCCUCCUGUGAAACCAUUCUAGUUCCUCAUCAGUGUGACCCACUGGAAGAGGCUGAGUAUGCCAGUGAGCUGUACUGUGGAGGCCUCCUCUCUAGUACUGGGCCCUUUGCGGACUGCCUAUCAGUUCUGGGGGCAGAGAGCUACUUCAGGGGCUGUAUGGUCGGCAUGUGCUCUAGUCAUGGUGACCCAGCGGUGCUAUGUGAGACAUUACAGGUCUACACUGAUAUCUGCCAGGAGGCUGGAGUUGCCAUACCCAUUUGGAGGAACUCUACAUUCUGCCCCCUUCGGUGUGGGGAGAACAGCCACUACAACUCAUGUGUUGAUGGCUGUCCCGAAGUGUGCUCCAGCCUGGAUAUAGCUGGCUCCUGUGGAAACUGUGAGGAAAGAUGUGAGUGUGACUUCGGCUUCAAACUCAGUGGGGGAAAGUGUGUCCCAGCAGAAAACUGUGGAUGCUGGUACAAUGGAAAACACCAUGAGAAAGGAGAAACAUUGUUGGAAGGAGAGUGUGUGCAGCAGUGCCAGUGCAUGGGUAAUAAUGACAUGCAGUGCACCACAAUGCAAUGCGCAGACAAUGAGGUUUGUAAGGUCAAGAAUGGGGUCAAAGGCUGCUUCGCUUUCAAUCCCGCCACCUGCAGUGUGUACGGUGAUCCUCACUAUAUCACCUUUGACGGGAUGGCUUACGAUUUUCAAGGGGGCUGCAGUUACACGCUGACUACCACAUGCGGAGAAGAAAGCUCAGUCCAGUUCAAUGUGAUCGGACAAAACGUGCAGCCUCCACUUCAGAACUACACCCGGUCCAAGCUGGAAGCUGUGGCUCUUCAGGUUGAGGAUCUAUACCUCACCCUGAAUCAAAGCGGAGAGGUCUAUGUGAAUAAUGUCCAUGUCCGACUCCCCUAUUCCACCAAUGGUGCAUACGGAUCAGUAUGGGUCUACACAAAGAAUAAUUAUAUUAUCUUGGAGACGACGUUUGGCCUCAGAAUGAUGAUAGAUGGGCAUUACAGACUCUUCCUGCAGGUGGAUGAGCACUACAAGUUCGAACUGUGUGGAUUGUGUGGCACCUACUCUGAACAACAGGAUGAUGACUUCAUAACACCAGGAGGCCAAAAUGCUACUGGGCCAUUUCAGUUUGGUGAAAGCUGGAGGGUGCCAGGCAAUAAUGAGUGUAUUGCCCAUCCAAAUUAUCCAAGACUCUGUGAUUAUGAUGAGGAGAAUGAGGCCUACAAUGAGUGCUACACGCUACUAGGGGAGGCCUUCAAGCCCUGCCAUGAACCCAUUCACCCAAGCAUCUACCUCAGUAGUUGUGUGUAUGAUUACUGUGCCACAAGUGGUGACCAACAUACCCUAUGCGAAUCUCUGAAGUCCUAUGCAGCAGCAUGCCAGGUUGCAGGAGUGGAGCUGCCCCACUGGGAGACAAACACAGCCUGUGCUGACCCCCCAACCACUGCAUCUCUUCCAACAACUCCAACUCCUACCUCUCCAACAUCAGAUCAGACUUUCUGUCCCAUGAAUUGCGACUUUGAAAAAAAUCUAUGUGGGUGGGAGCAGCUCAUACAGGACAGUUUUGAUUGGACAAGAAAUUCAGGACCCACCCCAUCAGACCUAACUGGCCCAAACCAAGACCACACCACUGGAGCUGGUUUCUACAUGUAUAUUGAGGGAAAUAAUGUAACCCAUGGAGAUUCAGCCCGUCUGUUGAGCUCAGUGUGCCAUUAUAAUGGCCCACUCUGCCUGCACUUCUGGUACCAUAUGUAUGGUUCAGCUGCAGCCACGGCCCUCAAUAUCUUCCUGCUCAAAGACAAUAAAGCUACCAAGCUCUGGUCCAUGAUGAACAACCAAGGACCAGAAUGGCAUCCAGGAAAUCUUGACAUCAAAGUGUCUGGUCCAUUCCAAAUCAUAGUGGAAGGGAUUCGAGGUUCUAAUGCUCAGUCAGAUGUGGCCAUAGAUGACAUUUCCAUCCACUUUGGCUCAUGCUCAGGUAGCUUCCCUGGCCUGGUUAGUGGAACUGAGUUUCCUUCUACAACGGCGGAGGUCCUCCCCUCACACUCAGUCUGCAAUAUUGACUGUAGCUUCGACAGCAACCUUUGUAGCUGGCAUCAGAUGAUCACGGAUGCUUUUGACUGGACAUGGCAAAGUGGUUCCACCCCCACCCUGAUGACUGGGCCCUCUGCUGACCACACUGGUGAUGGCCACUAUCUUUACAUUGAGGCCAGCAGCGUGACACAUGGAGACACAGCUCGUCUCAUUGGCUCUGAGUGUUCUGACUCUGGUCCUCAGUGUCUGCAGUUCUGGUACCACAUGUACGGUUCAGCAGAUACAAUGGGUCUCAAUAUCUACUUGCUCCAAAACAAAGUAGCCAACGCUGUUUGGUGGAAGAGAAAUGACCAAGGAAAUAUGUGGCACCUGGCUCAGGUGGACUUCACAACAACUGGAACUUUCCAGAUCAUCAUUGAGGGGCGUAGAGGCUCCAACGAAGAGUCCGAUGUGGCCAUAGAUGAUGUAAAGCUUUACCGUGGCGCUUGCUCUGAUCUGAAUGUUGUGGUGACAGGUCCACCUAAACCUGAUGGAAACACCACAGCUCCUCCUAGUGUCCCUGUGCCAACUGCUGCAGCUCCAGAGCCUACUCUGGUCAAUGUUACAGCUCAGCCCCCUGUAGCAAAUGUCACCAUACCUCCCGUAGUGGAAGCAACAACCGACUUAAUUAAUGACAAUGUUAUUGAAGCUCUAGAUAAUAGACCGCCACCACACCCAGGAUGCCAACUCCACUGUAAUUUUGAACAAGAUCUAUGUCAGUGGAGUCAAUUUAUUGCUGAUGUUUUUGAUUGGACAAGGCAUAGUGGCUCCACUCCUACUAUGAUGACUGGGCCUUCUUCAGAUCACACCACGGGAGAUGGCCACUAUCUUUACAUCGAAGCCAACAGCGUGUCAUAUGGAGACAUGGCUCGUCUCAUCAGCACUGAGUGUUCUGACUCUGGUCCUCAGUGUCUGCAGUUCUGGUACCAUAUGUAUGGUUCAGCAGAUACAAUGGGCCUCCAUGUCUACUUGUUCCAGGACAGACUAGCUGACGCUGUUUGGUGGAAGAGGAAUAACCAAGGAAAUAUCUGGCACCUGGCUCAGGUGGACUUGACAACAACUGGAGCUUUCCAGAUCAUUUUUGAAGGGCGAAGAGGUUCCAAUGAUCAGUCUGAUGUGGCCAUAGAUGAUUUAUCUCUUCAUCAUGGGCACUGUGCAGAUCUGGCCAAACCAACAACCCCUGCUCCCACAAACUUUGAUCCAGUUGCAACCGAAGGUCCAGAGCUUCCUCCAGCGACUGCUACACAACCACAAACAUCAACGUCAUCACAACCACAGCCACCAUCAACAACUACCUUUACAACAAUGACCACUGCAACAGAAGCCGCAACUGACUGUGAUACACAAACCCCUACAAAACCAGCAACAACUAUAACUCUAAAAACUUUAAAUCCUGAUGUCACAACAACAAGACCCCAGCUACCAAUAACAUCAAGGCCAAUAACAACAGCCACAACUGGACCCCAAACUACAGCUAGACCCCACCCACAAACAACAGAGCACCCAGGAGUUGAAACUUCAGAGCAAACUGUAAUUACAGAAACACUCCAAACAACAGCCAGACCAGAGCAACCAGCUACAUCUACGAAUGAACCCCAAACAACAGCUAGACCCCAACCUCCAACAACAGCUAGACCACAACCUCCGACCACAUCUCAACCAGAGUUACAAACAACAAAUAGACCACGACCUCCAACCACAACGCAACCACAGCCACAAACAACAGCUAGACCACAACCUCCAACCACAGUUAAACCUCAACCCACAACAGCUACACCACAGUCCACACCAACAUUGAGACCACAACCCACAACAACAGCUGGACCCCAACCUACAACAACAGCGACUCCACAACUGUCAACAACAGCUAGACCACAAUCUACAACAACCAUUAAAUCACAUCCAACAACAGGUAGACCUCAUCCUACAACAACAGCUAGACCACAACCACCAACCACACCUGUACCAACACCCUCUUGCCCAGAGAACAGUCAUUACACCACUUGUAUCCCUGCCUGCAGUCCAACCUGUACACACCUGAAUGGCCCACCACGCUGCAGUGACAAUAUGGGUUGUGUGCAGGGAUGUGUAUGUGAUGAAGGCUUUGUGCAGAAAGGGAGGGUUUGUGUGCCUAUCCAAUGGUGUGGAUGUGUGGACAGGAAUGGCACCAAACAUCAGUUCAAUGAAGUGUGGUACACCAAUCACUGCACUCAGAAAUGUGAAUGUAAGAAAAACCAUGGCGUGGGGAAGAUUGACUGUAAUGACAAAGAUGAGUGCGGUCGAAAUGCUGUCUGCCUUCAAAAUGAGGAGGGCGAUUAUUACUGCCAGUCUACAGGAUUCAGUAAGUGCACUAUCAAGGGACGUCCUGACUACAGAACCUUUGAUAAAAUGAAGUAUGACUUUAAGGGUGAGCACUCAUAUGUUCUGGUCCGGACCAACAAAUUGCCAAGUAACCUUCCAGAUGUCUACAUCGAGGGAAUCAAUACACACACCAGACAUUUUGACGAUGAUAGUCAGCAUCAUGGUGACAGCACUAGUGAAGAAGACCACAGUGGCAGAGUCAGGGAUGAAGAUGAUGAUGAUGAUGAUGAUGAUGAUGAUGAUGAUGAUGAAGAAGAUGAUGAAGAUGAUGGUGAUGUUGAUGACAAACAUGAUGACCAUAGUGAAAAGCAUAAGGAAAACCACAGAUUACAAGAGCUUAAGAUCAGAGUGUACAAUCACACUGUGGAGUUCAAGAAGAAUCGAAUGCUGGUCGUGGAUGGAAGGAGAACUAAUACUCCUGUCUCGCCCACUGCUGGUCUAAAAAUCUGGAAGCAUUCCUCUCGCUUCUACCUGAAGACCGAUUUUGGCCUUUCAGUGGAGUUUAGUGGACACAACACAGCAGAGAUCAUUCUACCAGACAUAUAUAAAAGGAAGGUGGGGGGUCUGUGUGGGAACUUUGACGGUCAAAAGCAGAAUGACUGGGUGAAGCCAGAUGGUACCAUGGCCAGGAGUGUUCAAGAGUUUGGAGAGAGCUGGAGAGUGUAAAUAUCAGAUGGAUACAACACACCCUCUCCCAAACCUGAGCCACCAAACAUGACUUGGCACCAGUGGCACUGAUGUCCAGUUUUCUUUACUGUACCUCCAGCUUUUCAGGACCUUGAACUUCUUGCUGUUAUUCAUAAAGUGUAUCAUAGUAAAAAAGACUUCCCUUUUGCACCUCAUUAUUCUGGGGUUUUGCAUUGUUUUAAGAAUCUGUUGUCAAGCUUUCAACUACUUUUAAAAGUUACUCAUCUUUCCACCAUCUUCGCUUUAUUUUCAAAAGAUAUUUGUACUCUGUGACAAUGUAUCGUACUUUACUGCUUGCGUCAUUGCCAUGCAUACUAUUUAGGCUAGUCAAAGGUGAUGUUCUUACAGCUGUGCACAUACUGUAUAUACACAAUAAUGGCCACAUUGAAACAAAACAUCUAAUACAGUGCGUUUAAAUAAUGAUUAUGCAUGACAACAGAUUACUUGUACUCUUGUACUCUACUGCUGGAAAGAAAUUCAAUGUGCAAUAAAUGUUGCUUGGUCAUAAUGUGUACUUGAAUGUCAGUGCAUUGGUAGGUUUUCUAUUGAAUCUUCACUGUGGUGCACUGUGGUUAAAUUUGUGUCGCCAUUAGUCAAGUCAUUUCCGUCUCAAGUGUAGCUACAACAGCAUUCCUGACACAUCUACAGUCUGAAUGUGUAAUCCAUUAUCUACCUGUAGAACUGGAGAAAGUCUAAUCAUUACGGAAAGAAAAAUAUUAUGUAAAGAACUUCUGUAACAUAAUACUCUGUGAAGACAAGGUACAUUUUUCUAGCAGACAAAAGGAUUGUUCUUGUCAGAAGUGUACCUGGGGGUUGUGUGUGUUUGUAAAUGUCUUUGAUGAUCAUAUGCAUGUAUAAAUAAGUCUUGGUUACACUCAGCAUCCACACACAGUCAUGGAUUGGUUUGCAUUGUACUUAUUUCUCCUGUUGGGGUUGCUACCUCUCUAUGAUGCUCAAAUGGCAGCUCCCAGUACCACACCAAAAGGCUGUGCAGGUCCACCCGUGCUGUGUUGCUCUGGUCAAAGCUUUGGUCAAAACUGUUUCAGGGGGUGUUUCUGUGACGAGAUCUGCGUGACAUUUAAAGACUGCUGUCCUGACUACAUCUCAACCUGCACACAACCUUUAACUACUGCACCAACAAGCAGACCCAGCACUACAAACAGCAAAACUACAUCUACAAUGGCAAAUAACGUCAUAACUUCCUCAUCAUCAACAGCACCCAAUACAACAUCUGCACUAUUGAAUGUGAACACAACCUCAGCCUCCAUAGUGUCUGCCACUACAGCAACCAGCCAAACAAGCAGCAAUACUACCUCUAUGCCAGCAGAUAACAGCACAACUUUAUUAGUCUCUGUAAGGACAGAAUCCAGCACAGCAGACAGCAAUACUACCUCAACAGUAGCAGAUAUCAUAACUUCAGCAUCUACAGUCUCUGCUACUACAGCACCCAGCACAACAAACAGAGGUACUACCUCCAUGCUUACAAAUAUCAGCACAACUCAAGCAUCCACAGCCCCUGAUACAACAACACCAAGCACAACAAACAGUUGUAUACCUACACCAGUAGAUUUCAUCCUAACAUCAUCUAUAAUCUCCAUUCGUCCAGCACCCUGAACAACAAACAGCAGUACUACGUCUGCACUACCAGAUAUCAGCAUAACUUCAGCAUUCCCACCCUCUCUUAUUACAGCACCCAGAACUAGGCCUGUCGCGAUUUUUCUUAUGAUAUAUGAACAUGACCUGAUCAUCUUUGCUGACCUCGAUAUUGCCCGUUGUGUUUACAUGUGUGUUUGUUUACGUAAGAAUGUCACCAACAUUUUAGCCAACAUGAUGCCAGAAUAAACAGCAGGGUUUUCCCUACCGUUAUAAGACUUGGGAAUGAGCAGAACUAAACUAUUUCUGGUCGUGCUGCUUCUGUCCUCUCGUCGUCUGCUCUCUGUGUGGAGUUUAAACGUGGGUGGGGCCCAGGCAGCUCCACCACACACACACACACACACAGUUGGCGACUUUCUUGCUAGAUUUAGCGACUAUUUCUAAAAAGCAACUAGCGACAAAUUUAGCGACCUAUUCAGACCAUCAUAAAGGCGAGAAAUAUAUUCAAUCAUAUUAUAUUGUAAUUCAUUCCCAUGCAUGCUGCUCAGAGUAAUCGCAGUUCUCGGAUCUUCUGCUCUUAAAAUGACAAUGAUAUGGUUUAUCGCAAUUAUUGCUGUGACAACAUAUUGUCCAACAAAAGUAGUUAUUGUGACAGGCCUACCCAGAACAAAAAACAGCAGUAGAUCUACAUCGACAGAUAUCCCCCCAUCUUCGUCAUCCGCAGUCUCUUCAACAACAGCACCCAGUACGACAAGCAGCACUACUGCACUAUUAGAUGUGAGCACAAUCUCAGUGUCUACAGUGUCCACAGCUACAGCAGGGACAACACUGACAGAAACCAGUACAACUCUGGAUACUAGUAGUGUCACAUCUUCACCAGCAGAUGGGAGCAAAUCUGGAGUUUCCAACAAAAACACAGAUUCCAGGACCACCACCAGCUCAGAUAAAGAUGCCAAAAUAGUGACUGCUCACUUAAAGGUUUCUGUUUUAUCCAGUAAUGAGGAAAAUGAGGAUGUGAUAGAGGCUUUAUCUAAUUUUGUAUCCCAGACCCUGCUCCAGCCGAACUGUGAGGGCUGCACUUUCACUAUCAGACACAUCAAACCAACCUGAGAAAGAGCCUAUAUGUUUCAGCCAAUGGAAGCAUCAGUGUGGCUACAACUGUGACAAAAGACUGCACAACUCUCAGAAGCAACAGAACCAUCUGUUAAAACUUAAUUAACUGUUAAAGAUCAGUGCCUACUUGAAGCACUGGGUAAUAAAAUGACAUAUUUAUUCAGCACUAUCUGUUGAGAGUAAACCCUUAGAGCAUCUGGCCCAUUUAAACCACAGGGCCCAGUUAAAUUAACUUUGAAACUAAGGCAGCAGGUCAGCUCAGUAAGUUAAGACAAUGUGUCAUUUUAACAAAAACGUUAACAAUUAUUGUGGUACAUACACUAAACUAGGACUGCAACUAACGUUUAUUUUCAUUAUAGAUUAAUCUGUUGAUCAUUUUACCUAAUCAACUACUCAAUUAGUCACUUGGUGUAUGAAAUGUCAGAAAGUGGGGAAAGAUGCCCAUCACAGUUUCUCAAAGCAAAAGAUGACAUCCGACCAAUCCAUCCAAAAACCUAAAGAUAUUCACUUUAUUUUCAUAGAAAUCAGAAUAUUCACAUUUGAGGAGCUGGAACCAGAGAACUUUGGCAUCUUUUCUAAAAGAAAAUUGCUCAAAACAGUUAAUCGAUUAUCAAAAUUGUUGCCAAUACAUUUUCUGUCGACCAACUAAUCAUUUUAUCAAAUACAUGACAGUCUAUAUUCUCGGGAUAUACAAAUAGCCAUUCUCAAAAGCCAUUACUACUUCUUCACAAAUCAUACAUCAAUGACUGAACAACAAAAGUGCAAAACUGGGCAAAUGCCAAAUUACUGAAAGCUCUGAUGGACUCUGUGUCUGUGUGGAGCAGCAAUGACACAGCAGCUUCAUUAGCAGGUAAGCAACAACAUCAACAAGCACACAACAGCUUCAGAGUCCAAACAGUGUGAAUAUAAGUUCAAUUCCAUAACAUCAUCAACUACACAUGGAGUUAAAUACACACAGAGAGCCGCAGAGAGACAUUUAAGCGUCAGGGAAGACACCAAGCAGCGAGACAGACAGACAGACAGAUUUGACUCACGUUCCUUGAAGCCCAUUCAGCUCUCUGUCGUACGGACGUGAAGUGGUCGAUAUCCAUGUGAAAUGAUGUCCCACUGCACUUGUCAUUUAGUUUGUUGACAGAACUCCUCACUUCUUCUCUCCAUCGCUGCUACCGUCGGCCGACGUUAACCGGGAUAACAGUAACCCUGGAAAAGAAGCUAACUCUGUUGCAUUUAGAAGUUAACUUUCUGUCCUCUGCGACUAGCUUGCUUCACCGUUCACUUCAGUUUCUUUUCCAGAAAUGCUGCCCACUGUUUCGCAGUAGCCGCCGCUGAUUCUAAGAGAAUGGGAUCAUUCUUGUCAGGAGCGUAUGUUACUGUCACUGCCACUCUCGCCAUUCAGUCAUGGAUUGGUUUGCACUGUACUUCCUUCUCAUGAUGUCUUUGGCGCCUCUCUACAGUGGCUGCACAGGUCCUCCAGUGCUUCGUCGCUCUGGUCAAAAUAUCAGCUGUAACAGCUGGGAUUGCUCUCCUGACUAUAACUCCACGCGCGCACAACCUUUCACUACUGCACUGCCAUAAUGGAUCCAGUACAACAAAAAGCAGUACCACAUCUGCACCAAUAGAUGGCAGCAAACCCAGAGCAUCAACAGUCUUUGUUACCACAGAAGGGACGACACUGACAGAAACCAGAACGACUCCGGAUUCUAGUAGUGUCACGUCUUCAUCAGCAGAUGGCGGCAUAUGCACUGAUUCCGAUCAAAGGCCAGACUCCAGGACCACCAUCAGCACAGAUGAAGUUUGUAGCCCAGACCCAAGCAGAGCUGUGAAGGCCGCACCCUGAAGAUGAGACACAUCAAACCCACCAUUGGAUCGUCUGGGAGACCGGGCCCGUCGCCAAGAGGAGGCAUUGGGGUGCACUGUCAACUGUUUGAUUGUUUGAUGUGACUGAUGCGCCAUGUACGUAAGGCGCAGCUGGUCCUGAGGAGACAGCCGCGGGAAGGAGAGGUUCUGCACUGCAGCAACCCCCCACCCUUGGGUGGGUGAGGUUUUUUGGCCUAUGUGUGUUGUUUUUUUUUUAUGUCAUGUUACACCCCACCUCUCCCGGGCCCUGUCACCAACGACAUCUUUGUUUUAAAUAUUGCCAGCAGCGCGAGCUUUCCAGAUGGUUUCCUAUAAUAUUUGUCUGUAGACGUAUUGAUCUGUUGUGGCAGGAGGGUUUGGAUCGCCGUCAGUGUGUACUGAUGACUAAAGUAGCCUACAUUUCGUAUUGUCAUAUUGUUUCACAUAACAUCAUGUUGUUCUGUCGAGAUGUGAUUUACACUGUUGCAAGGGUAAUAUUAAAGUCUUUUGCACGAAAGUGUAUAACUGUAAUGCUGUGGUUCUAUCGGCUAAAUGACAAAUGUGUUGACUAAGAAAAUCAUAUCCCAUCGAAAAAAUAUUGUGAAUCUUGCCCAUGAUCCUCAUCAUGAUGUAACAGCCUCUCACAAAAUUAAAUAAACGUACUCAAUUCCUCCCCGAAUAUGAAAUAUAUGAAAUAAAAUGUAAAUAUCGAUUACA